Long non-coding RNA from Rosa chinensis, 927 nucleotides. RefSeq lists it as uncharacterized. The record is from RefSeq and is a predicted model, not a curated record. The transcript is spliced from 5 exons. Lineage: Eukaryota; Viridiplantae; Streptophyta; Magnoliopsida; Rosales; Rosaceae.
GAUAUAAGGUGAGCUUGUCUUGCCAUUGAUGCCUACAUCAUAAAAUCAACUUGAACAACUGACCUUAAUACUUCUUAUUUGGUAGCUCCACUCAACCUGUUUUGGGUAAUUUGGUUCUCUCUAGUCUCAACUACCAUGUAGUUCUCACAGUCAAUCAUUUAUAAACUCGUAAUGGGUUAAUACCAAGUGACCAGAUCCCAUUACCAUGCACACACACGCAAUAAUUUUGCGUUGAUGUUAUCAUGCUUCGUAAUGAUGAUUUUUGACUUGUAUUUAUUUACCAUCUGGAAGGUCAAGUUAUUUCAGGACAUAGGCAUUUGAGAUGAUGCCAUAGGCAUUGUUUGUAAAGUUCUGUCCUUCGCUAAUAUACAGCCAUCCUGUACAAGAAAAUCCAGCCAGUGGUUGCAUAACUGCUUAUGUAUUUACUACGGUUCAGUCUAUGCAUCAACUCCUAACGGAGUAGAAAUAUCAGGACAUUAGUGCAUAUGGCUAAUAAUUCUUCAACAUUCUUGAACUCUUUCUCGUAUAUAUCCAGCUUCAAGUCAUAUCCUUCUUGCUGAAGGCUUUAUUCAAAGAAGAGUCAUAUGCUGGUUGUCCGUAUCAAAGAAUUCAUGAAAAAGCAAUAAAGGGGGAGGUUUUGAAUUCUAAGAACGAUCUCAGCAAAGAAAAGUUGUCCAGAAAUGUGUUGUCCAUAUCAAAGAGGAGUUGCAGCUAUGGGAUGAAGAGUCUUGAUGUUUAUAUUUUGAUGGGUGCAUCUGAAAAUUUUUAGUUAGUAUAUUUAUUGUAUGACACAUUUUAAAAUACAGUAUAAAGGUACAGUAUAGAAUGUAGACGUGCCAACUGGCACCUUAUUUUUUUAAUCCAACCUCAUAAAUUUGUCACUGAUAUCAGUGGCAUUCUAAAACCACUAAUAUCAGUGUGGAUUUA